Python bivittatus (Burmese python) is the source of this 275-nucleotide non-coding RNA. The record is from RefSeq and is a predicted model, not a curated record. NCBI's taxonomy places the organism in Eukaryota, Metazoa, Chordata, Lepidosauria, Squamata, Pythonidae.
AGGUCUGAAGGUGAAAAUGCAAGAAACAUCAGGUCUAUAAAUACUCUGCACCAGUUUUGCUGUCCAGCUCCAUUGUACCAUACUCUGCUAACUCUCCCUGCCACACACUCAGAGUACAGCAGCACCCGUGAAAGCAAAAAUAUAUUGCAAAGGACGUUAUAGUGCCAAAGAAAUACCAUCAUUUUCUUGUACUACCUAUCUUCAUAAAAUUUGUUCAACACCUCUAUGAGGACUUCCUUGGAAACAAGAAAGAACCUUUCAACUGAUCCACGCAG